Molecule: ribosomal RNA, 435 nt
Filed under: uncultured bacterium
Lineage: Bacteria
Description: partial 16S ribosomal RNA
Rfam family: Bacterial small subunit ribosomal RNA
Source: RNAcentral
AACGAACGCUGGCGGCAUGCCUAACACAUGCAAGUCGAACGAUUGCCUUCGGGUGAUAGUGGCGCACGGGUGCGUAACGCGGGGGAAGCUGCCCUUAGGUUCGGAAUAACAGCUGGAAACGGCUGCUAAUACCGGAUGAUAUCGCGAGAUCAAAGAUUUAUCGCCUGAGGAUGAGCCCGCGUUGGAUUAGGUAGUUGGUGGGGUAAAGGCCUACCAAGCCGACGAUCCAUAGCUGGUCUGAGAGGAUGAUCAGCCACACUGGGACUGAGACACGGCCCAGACUCCUACGGGAGGCAGCAGUGCGGAAUAUUGGACUAUCGGCGCAAGCCUGAUCCAGCCAUGCCGCGUGAGUGAUGCAGUCCCUAGGGUUGUAAAGCUCUUUUACCCGGGAAGAUAAUGACUGUACCGGGAGAAUAAGCCCCGGCUAACUCCGUG